ACAGAGAAUAUCGCCCUCACGGGUGACUCUCCAACCCUAUGUUAUUAUACCUUUGUUGCUUUGGCGGGCCGCCUCGGCCACCGGCUCACGCUGGUGAGUGCCCGCCAGAGGACCCCAAACUCUGAAUAUUAGUGUCGUCUGAGUACUAUAUAAUAGUUAAAACUUUCAACAACGGAUCUCUUGGUUCUGGCAUCGAUGAAGAACGCAGCGAAAUGCGAUAAGUAAUGUGAAUUGCAGAAUUCAGUGAAUCAUCGAAUCUUUGAACGCACAUUGCGCCCUGUGGUAUUCCGCAGGGCAUGCCUGUUCGAGCGUCAGUACAACACUCAAGCUCAGCUUGGUAUUGAGCCGCGUCCGCAAGGGCCGGCUUUAAAAUCAGUGGCGGUGCCGUUGUGGCCCUGAGCGCAGUAAAUAUCCUCGCUAUAGGGACACGGUGGUUGCUUGCCAAUAACCCCCAACUUUCCAAGUUUGACCUCGGAUCAGGUAGGGAUACCCGCUGAACUUAA
RNAcentral lists this ribosomal RNA (503 nucleotides) under uncultured fungus. RNAcentral's name for it is "eukaryotic LSU rRNA". The stretch from base 161 to 314 matches the Rfam family "5.8S ribosomal RNA". The record is from RNAcentral. Lineage: Eukaryota; Fungi.